RNAcentral lists this ribosomal RNA (303 nucleotides) under Triticum aestivum (bread wheat). Its description in RNAcentral is "partial small subunit ribosomal RNA". The record is from RNAcentral. Lineage: Eukaryota; Viridiplantae; Streptophyta; Magnoliopsida; Poales; Poaceae.
AUGUUUUACGGAGUUGAGCGGAUGAUUCGGGGAGUCAGGCAUGUGCCAGGGCUAAGGAGGAAUCUAAUUUUGCUUGGUGUUCUUCAUGAUGGUGGUAUGGAAUUUCAUUCUAAUCAGGAUAAGAAGACCAUGGAAAUCAUGGAAGAUGGGGUGACCGUGAUGAUAGGAGAGAGGAUGGCUUCACAUCUUUAUAAGUUGCAAGGGAGCAAUGUUGCAGGUGGAGCCAUGGAGAGUGGAGUUGCAGGAGUAGCAGUGGAGUCCCAUGGUGGCGACGAAUCUGGCCCGUCGGGUAGCUCUCAGUAA